CUACGGGGUGCUGCAGUGGGGAAUCUUGGACAAUGGGCGCAAGCCUGAUCCAGCCAUGCCGCGUGAGUGAUGAAGGCCUUAGGGUCGUAAAGCUCUUUCGCCAGGGAUGAUAAUGACAGUACCUGGUAAAGAAACCCCGGCUAACUCCGUGCCAGCAGCCGCGGUAAUACGGAGGGGGUUAGCGUUGUUCGGAAUUACUGGGCGUAAAGCGCGCGUAGGCGGACCAGAAAGUUGGGGGUGAAAUCCCGGGGCUCAACCCCGGAACGGCCUCCAAAACUCCUGGUCUUGAGUUCGAGAGAGGUGAGUGGAAUUCCGAGUGUAGAGGUGAAAUUCGUAGAUAUUCGGAGGAACACCAGUGGCGAAGGCGACUCACUGGCUCGAUACUGACGCUGAGGUGCGAAAGCGUGGGGAGCAAACAGGAUUAGAUACCCGAGUAGUC
RNAcentral lists this ribosomal RNA (439 nucleotides) under uncultured bacterium. RNAcentral's name for it is "partial 16S ribosomal RNA". It matches the Rfam family "Bacterial small subunit ribosomal RNA", at positions 339 to 795 of the family's 1533-position model. The record is from RNAcentral.